Molecule: ribosomal RNA, 288 nt
Filed under: uncultured bacterium
Lineage: Bacteria
Description: partial 16S ribosomal RNA
Rfam family: Bacterial small subunit ribosomal RNA
Source: RNAcentral
GUGGAUUAGAUACCCGGGUAGUCCAUGCCGUAAACGAUGUCUACUAGCCGUUGGGGCCUUUGAGGCUUUAGUGGCGCAGCUAACGCGAUAAGUAGACCGCCUGGGGAGUACGGUCGCAAGACUAAAACUCAAAUGAAUUGACGGGGGCCCGCACAAGCGGUGGAGCAUGUGGUUUAAUUCGAUGCAACGCGAAGAACCUUACCUGGUCUUGACAUAGUAAGAACUUUCCAGAGAUGGAUUGGUGCCUUCGGGAACUUACAUACAGGUGCUGCACGGCCGUCGACAACU